UUGGAGGAGAGAGAGACACGUACCCGCCCUGAUUCCCAAGCCAAACAUCCAAAACCAGUUGUGAGUAAAAAAAGUGAUUUUAUUGAAGGUAAUGAAGCAUAGCUCCAGGGUGAACCCAGGCCAAAAUAAUAAACAAAACCAACGAAGUCCCACCAGAGAAAACUAACUAAACCCUAGGAAAGAAACAAAACAAACAAAAGACAAUACUAACCCUCGCUCCCUAAGCCGGAAAACAGGAGAAAACGGUUCCCAAAGAAAAAGGCAGCUCACCCCUUCCGCUUCAGUCUAUGGGUGCCUAAGCACUAAGUUAACACACGGAGAGCGGCUCUCACAGAGCACGCUCACACAAACACACAGCAAAAGUAUAGGCUGGAAACCAGGGCCAGGACCGCGUCGGCUGUCAAACUGCUUGCUCGCUCGCUUCUCUCUCUCUCUCUCUUCCCGGCGGAAGCUGUCAGAACGGCGGUCACGUGUUCCACAGUCCAAUCAGCUGCUCACUACUCUUCAUUAGGGGAGGGACCUGCAAAGAGUCUUAAGCACAGUAAAGAGACAGAACAAAACAGCCCACACAGAGAUCUUAUGGCCACAGCCGUAACAAACCUCAGGAGGAUGCAGCCCAUGAAUUUGGACACGACCACUGAUCUGCUCCCACUGUGGAAACAGGAAGUAGAAGAACUCCCAGAGCUGUCCUCUGAUCAGCAGGAAACCGCAGGAGAACAAGAAAGAGGAGUGCAGAUGCAUAAAAUACUGCAGGGGUGAGACGAGCAGUUCAAGGACUCCAGAUGUUCACCACUGGAAACUCCAGCAGAGGCAGUGAGGAAGCUGAGGCCUCCUGUGGACUCACUCAGCUCCAUGUGUGUCUGUUUGUGUUAUUUUCCUGUCAGGAGUGCUUAUAAAUAAAGUUAUUUUUACAUGUGUGAGGAGAAUAUUACUGGCACCUUAGUGGGAGGGGGUAUGUCUAAAAUAUUAGAAUAUGUCUAAAAAGCAUUAAAUAAAUUUGAUUGUGCAUCUAUAAAAGUAAUUCCUGUUUGUAUAAAUUCACACUGAAAACCAAACUGCACACCACGGUUGAUAAACGGGAUUAACACGAUGUCUGAAGGUUCUCAGUUGUCCAGGUCAUCGUAGUCUAAGGAGCUUGGAAAGGAAAGGCAUCUUUAAGUUGCUGACCCCGUAAGCACUUUGCAGCUGAGUUGAG
Long non-coding RNA from Oreochromis aureus, 1195 nucleotides. RefSeq lists it as uncharacterized. The record is from RefSeq and is a predicted model, not a curated record. The transcript is spliced from 3 exons. NCBI's taxonomy places the organism in Eukaryota, Metazoa, Chordata, Actinopteri, Cichliformes, Cichlidae.